Molecule: long non-coding RNA, 217 nt
Filed under: Elaeis guineensis (African oil palm)
Lineage: Eukaryota; Viridiplantae; Streptophyta; Magnoliopsida; Arecales; Arecaceae
Description: long non-coding RNA (EGUI_LNC006814)
Source: RNAcentral
CUGCAGUGAGCCAUGAAAAAGUGUUCGAAUUGCUCGAAGGAGUAUAAACUUUUCGACUGAAGUCUGGAGUACCAGGCUCGAGCAGCUUUUCGAAGAGUCAUCGGAAAGCUGAUGCACAAGAGGACAUCGGUUGCCUUCUGAAUCAUCAUGAGAGCCUUGUAGCUCUCAAGGUGGUCGAUCGGGUCAGUGGAACCGUCAUAUGGCUCCACUUGCGGCA